AUUCAAGUCAUGUGGUGGGUGAAGAAGAGGCAAUUUGGUUACUAAAAUUGGUUCUACCAUACUUGAAUGAGUGCUUGUUGAAAAUUAAAGCCCUUUUUUCUGGGGAUCCUGCUACUACAAUGAAGAUGGCAGUGCUGCUGUUUGUUUUUGCCAGGUGUGGCAGCUCCAUAACCAUCUGGAAUAUGGCCAAAUUGGGUUUUUUUGGGGUUUUUACAGUGCCAAAGGUCUGCUCUUCCUACUCUACACAGUUAACCGCUUACGCUAAAUUUUGGAUCCGACGGUUUCGAGACGCGUGGGACUCAUGCUCGCACAAGAAAGCCGUUGCUUUGGCCAUUUUUACCCUCGUUUGGAACCUCUCUUCCAUGGUUGCUCGAGUUUGGGCAGUAUUUAUGAUGUUUGUAGCCGUUCGAUAUUAUCAGCAGUCUAUGGAAGCAUAUGAUUGGGUGGAAGACGAUGCGGUAGCGGGGGGUGAUGAAAGUAUUGGUGGAGAAGAAAGUCAAAGAAAUGGGUCCAUUUCAGUGGACGUAAAUAAAAUGAAAAAAGUGUCAUAAAUUUAUAGGAAAUAAUGAAAAAGGUUAUCUCAUUUUAAUUAUUUUUAUUUUUAUUUUUUAGUAUUUAUUUCUGUGAAUAUGUUGUUUGGGACAAUACUAACAAAGCUCUACAGAGC
Molecule: unclassified non-coding RNA, 667 nt
Filed under: Hevea brasiliensis (rubber tree)
Lineage: Eukaryota; Viridiplantae; Streptophyta; Magnoliopsida; Malpighiales; Euphorbiaceae
Source: RNAcentral